UUGAAAAAACGUCGUGUCGAUUCGGUGACGAAUGUGAAAGUCAGUGAUAUGGCCGAGAGAAAAUUCAUAACGCCGAGACGGAAGCGGCACAACGACCACCCUUCUGGGUCAAGGCCGUCGGAAAGGUCGGAUGUACCGAAGGAACCGGCGAGACCGCCUAGAACGAGGACGCAGCAGACCGCAAAUGUGACGACGGCUCACAAUUCCAAUUUCGGGAAUGGCACACGUAGCGUAUUUGUGGAAUCACAGCAAAAGCCGACCGAGAAGGCCCCGAUGACGACCCUUGACGAGAACGUGAACCGUGUACCACGACAACAGCAUAAAACAGCCGAAAAUAUGGAUUAUCUAGGAAAACUCGAUCGGAUAGAAAGGCUCUCUCCGGAAAACGGACAGAUCCAAGACAUGGAUGGUGGGCAGCCUGUUCAAGUAGUACUUGCUCAUCCAGAUCAUACCUUUGAAUUAGAUGAAGCUGCAUUGUCAGAAAUUCUCCUACAUGACGACGUGAAAGAUAGAAGUGUGGUUGUAGUAUCUGUUGCUGGUGCCUUCAGGAAAGGCAAAAGUUUCCUUCUUGACUUUUUUCUUCGUUACAUGAACAACAAGUAUAUAUUACAAAAUAAUACCGAUUCCUGGUUGGGCGCCGAGGACGAGCCAUUAAGUGGUUUUUCAUGGCGAGGUGGUUCCGAGAGGGAUACUACAGGAAUAUUGAUGUGGUCGAAGGUUUAUCCCGCUACCUUGGCGAAUGGUGAAGAGAUCGCUGUAAUUCUUAUGGACACUCAAGGCGCUUUCGACAGUCAGUCAACGGUGCGGGAUUGCGCGACAGUGUUCGCAUUGAGUACAAUGCUAUCCUCCGUGCAAAUAUACAACUUGUCGCAAAAUAUUCAGGAGGAUGAUCUUCAGCAUCUACAACUGUUCACCGAAUAUGGUAGAUUGGCGUUAGAGAGCUCCGAUAGUACACCUUUCCAGAGACUACAGUUCUUAGUCAGAGACUGGGUUUAUCCAUAUGAGGCUGAUUAUGGCGCAAAUGGUGGAAAAAAAUUGCUCGACAAAAGACUGGAGAUUUCAGAUAGACAGCAUGCGGAAUUGCAAAGCUUGCGAAAGCACAUUAAGUCCUGUUUUUCGGACAUAUCGUGUUUCCUCAUGCCACAUCCCGGUUUAGAGAUCGCGACGAAUCCGAAAUUCGAUGGUAGAUUAUCUGAGAUACAGACCGAGUUUAAAAAACAAUUAAAAGUGCUCAUACCAAUGAUACUGGCGCCAGAAAAUCUAGUGACCAAAAAGAUCAACGGCCAGGUCGUGAAAGCGAAAGAUCUGUUGGAAUAUUUCAAAAGUUAUAUCAAUCUUUACAAGGGAGAUGAACUUCCCGAACCAAAAAGUAUGCUUGUGGCCACAGCGGAAGCUAAUAACUUAACCGCUGUAGCAGAAGCUAAGGAUUUGUACCUUCAGAUGAUGGAGACCGUGUGCGGUGGAGCGAAACCGUUUUUAGCGACCGCUCACUUAGAAUCUGAACAUCAACAUUGUAUGGAUUCAGCUCUUCGUCAAUUCCAGAAUAAACGAAAGAUGGGCGGAGAAGAAUUCAGUCAAAUAUAUAUGGAAAAAUUAAUUAAGGAUAUGGAUGACGCUUUCUUGCAAUUUAAGGCGCACAAUGAGAGCAAAAAUAUUUUUAAAGCAGCGCGGACGCCAGCAGUGUUUUUCGCAAUUGCCGUUACUAUGUAUAUUUUAUCCGGAAUAUUUGGUCUUGUUGGUCUGUACACAAUAGCGAAUGUAUGUAAUCUUAUUAUGGGUGUUGGCCUUCUCACACUUGUCUUAUGGGCAUAUAUAAGGUAUAGUGGAGAAUUCAGAGAAAUUGGAACACAGAUAGAUGACUUAGCCAGUAAGAUAUGGGAAAAUGUCUGGCUAUGCGCUCAUCUUUGUUAUAAAUUAAUUUAUACAUUAAGAUACCUAAUCCUGUCCAUUAUCGUAAUUGUAUUUGCAAUACCUAUAUGUCAUUUUACUUAUCGCGUUCUUCGCAGACAUGGCUACAUCUGAUCACAUGCUUUUCUUCUUUUCUAAUUUUAGUCUUUAAUUAUCUUUAUUAAUUCCAAAUUGCUUCUUUCUUCAAAUCUUCUGUGUUCCUUACACGUCUAUGUUUUGCACAUUUCUUUCUUACUAACCAAAACCGUUUCAUAAAAGUGUAACUAUUAAUAUUACUAUUUUUUAUUGUCUUUUUUUUUAUUCCUGUCAUAAGCUGAGUGCUAACAGGAGCAAAUAUCUCGAAAAGUUCAUGAAGCCACUCUACCAACAAUUUGUGGAGAAGUCCGUGUCUGUAGCAGUGGC
This 2310-nucleotide unclassified non-coding RNA is filed under the name Acromyrmex echinatior (Panamanian leafcutter ant). RNAcentral's name for it is "atlastin, transcript variant X7". The record is from RNAcentral. Lineage: Eukaryota; Metazoa; Arthropoda; Insecta; Hymenoptera; Formicidae.